GCCGUUGUAGCUCAGUUGGCAGAGCGCAUCCAUGGUAAGGAUGAGGUCCGCGGUUCGAUUCCGCGCAACGGCU
RNAcentral lists this transfer RNA (73 nucleotides) under Candidatus Moraniibacteriota bacterium. RNAcentral describes it as "tRNA-Thr". It matches the Rfam family "tRNA". From Rfam's summary of the family: Transfer RNA (tRNA) molecules are approximately 80 nucleotides in length. Their secondary structure includes four short double-helical elements and three loops (D, anti-codon, and T loops). Further hydrogen bonds mediate the characteristic L-shaped molecular structure. tRNAs have two regions of fundamental functional importance: the anti-codon, which is responsible for specific mRNA codon recognition, and the 3' end, to which the tRNAs corresponding amino acid is attached (by aminoacyl-tRNA synthetases). tRNAs cope with the degeneracy of the genetic code in two manners: having more than one tRNA (with a specific anti-codon) for a particular amino acid; and 'wobble' base-pairing, i.e. permitting non-standard base-pairing at the 3rd anti-codon position. Lineage: Bacteria; Candidatus Moraniibacteriota. The record is from RNAcentral.